GAACAAUGAAAAAUUCCUCACAACUUUUCCUCAGCUGUUUCAUCUUCCUUUUCUAGUUUCUCGGUUCAGCUGAGGUUUUUCAUGGGUUGCUUCCCUUACUCUAAAGGUACCUUUUGUUGUUUUCGGUAGAGCGGCUUCUCCGGCGAUGGUUCUUGCUUUGCCAAGAGUCUAGUUAUUUUUUUUUUCUUGGUUUAUUAUUGCAGAUCUUGGGGUUUAAAAGAGAUGGUGUGUUCGUAGAUAUGGAGGCGAAAGCUUUCUUUGCUCGGACGAAGUCUUAGCAUGUGUUCUGUGGUGGGACCUCUUGGGACAUCGACGGCCAAACAAUCAUGUUUUGGCUUCUCCUAAGGCUACAAGAGAGGAGACGCCGACAAGAGUCGCCCCACACCUCCUGAAACUGUGCGUUACCAAGCCAAGUUUGACUGGCAUACAGCUGGUUUGGGUGGUCCCAGUUCCUUAAUUAUGGCUUGUUUUCCUUCAAGUAUUGAAGGAGUUCUAUGAGGAUGUGUGUGAAUCCUUCUAACCCGAUGCUGUUUGAUUUUUGUUGGGUUUGGUUUAUUGGCGAAGAUAGUGGUUGUCCGGAACAAUGCUGCUUGACAUUUCGAGAGUUUGGGUUGGAUUGGUUUUGGAAGGGUUUUAUUUUUUUUUUGGGAUCAGGCCGUAUGUUUUUG
RNAcentral lists this long non-coding RNA (668 nucleotides) under Manihot esculenta (cassava). RNAcentral describes it as "long non-coding RNA (MESC_LNC001821)". The record is from RNAcentral. Lineage: Eukaryota; Viridiplantae; Streptophyta; Magnoliopsida; Malpighiales; Euphorbiaceae.